AUUGGGAUAGUUAAAUGUAUAAUGAAGGUUUGAAGUGCCUAUAUUGGGGCGUUAAAUUCCUCCUCUCAAUG
RNAcentral lists this transfer RNA (71 nucleotides) under Histampica haimaensis. Its description in RNAcentral is "Histampica sp. h LQ-2021 tRNA-Phe". It matches the Rfam family "tRNA". Rfam says of the family: Transfer RNA (tRNA) molecules are approximately 80 nucleotides in length. Their secondary structure includes four short double-helical elements and three loops (D, anti-codon, and T loops). The record is from RNAcentral. Lineage: Eukaryota; Metazoa; Echinodermata; Ophiuroidea; Amphilepidida; Ophiactidae.